This 99-nucleotide signal recognition particle RNA is filed under the name Actinomycetota bacterium. RNAcentral describes it as "Actinobacteria bacterium signal recognition particle sRNA small type". It matches the Rfam family "Bacterial small signal recognition particle RNA". Rfam says of the family: The signal recognition particle (SRP) is a universally conserved ribonucleoprotein involved in the co-translational targeting of proteins to membranes. Archaeal SRP consists of a 7S RNA and homologues of the eukaryotic SRP19 and SRP54 proteins. Lineage: Bacteria; Bacillati; Actinomycetota. The record is from RNAcentral.
GGUCGGGUCCUGUGCAAUCGGAACUUGUGAACCGGGUCAGGGCCGGAAGGCAGCAGCUCUCAGCAGGAACUCCGAUGUGCCGCAGGCAGCCUGACCGUC